GGAGAUGGACAUGGACAGGGGCUGAAACUGCAGUACCAGCAGAUGGGGAGCUUAAGAAGGAAGCUAGUUCAUGGCACAGCACCCGUAAAGUCCCCAGAAUUGGAGGCACCAGAUUCUUCUGAAAGAAAAGGAGCAAUUCAGCACUUGUCAUGCAGAUAAGAGGUCAACACCCCAGGACGGAGUGAAAACCUAAGGUUUGUAUUUUUGAUACACAAAGUGCUCUUUUGGAGGAAACCAAAAAAUGUCGAGUUUCUGGCAAGGUAUGGAAACAGGACAGAAGGAGACCAGAGUCGAAGCACCAGAGGGCAUAGAUGUGGAAAGUGGUCCUAGUUAGGAGCUGUUGCCCAGGAAAUGUUGAGGGCACAAGCUGUAAGCAGGACCACAGUGAAGACAGCUAGUGUCAAAAGCCCUGCCAAGCCAGUCCUUCACAAGGGCUGUCCAGCCUUUAGCAUGGGGGACUCAGCAUGGCAGGCCUGUACCUAGUAAAAUUUCUGUCUUCCCAGUGGUGACAAUCGGCUCCUUCCGCACCUGUAAGAGCAAAUUUGGUUCUGCCACUGUCUGAUUGCCUGGUGCUCACAGUUCACUUCCCUGUCAAGCCAGGUCAUCCUAAUACCAGAGAGGACUUCACUUCUCCCUAGCAAUGACCAAUUCUGUGAAACUGAUUACUCCAAACUGUAUGUAUAGACUUAGCAAUGAGGAAAGGCUUUGCCAGAUCAUCUUUUAAAACUAAACCUCAACUUCGAUGUGCUCUCUGUGCUCCAACCACACCUGUCUUUUUCCUUGUUCCUCAAUGGUGUCAUGUUUCUGUUACAGGGUCUUAGCAUAAGCUAUUUCUUCUGCCUGGAGGGCGCAUCCCCCAACCAUCACAUGACUGGCCACAUUGCUCAGACUUUAGCCUAGAUGUCACCUCUUCAGAGAAGCCUUCUCUGACCACCUUAUUUAAUGUUGAUCACUCCACCUGCAGCCCAAACACCAGCUAAUAAAUUCCCUCCUACUCCUCCAUCGUUUCUUUAAUUUUUAUGCCUCAUGUGAAAAGUAUCGAGUCAAUCACAUACUUCAGUUCAUGGUAUAAUAUUAUUACAUUUCUUUCGUGGAUAUUUUCCCCAUUCAUCCCUGGUUUCCAUUUCCGUUACCUCUCCUUUCACAUAUUCAUUCACUAUAAGGCAUUACAUAUAUAUCCUUGUCUAAAAAUGUAAUAUUGUCAAAUGUAAGUUAUUAUUUGGUAUAUCAUAUGUUUCACAAAUAGUAUUGUGCAAUAGACCUUGCUCUAGUUAUUAUGUUUUGUAUUCACCAGUGUGUUCUAAAGACCCAUCUGUAUCUGUUAUAUAUGUAGGUACACUUGGUUCAUUGCUUCUAACUGAUCCUUGGUAUCCCGUAGUGUGCAUUCAUCCCUGCUCUGGAUACAGUCAGCUCCCAAAUUCCAUAAACAACUCCUUUGUAAGUAACCUCCUUUUGACAGGGGGUAGAAUUGCUCAGGGUCCAGAUGCUCCCAUUAUUAUCUGUUCCUCACCCUGGCCAGGCUGUGGCACUGCCCUGAUAUUAUCCCAUCACCUCCGUGUAGCAGAUAUUUUGUCUCAAGGUGGUUCCAGGCCAGGCGAUUAUCUGCCAAGGACAGUGGUUAGAGAGAGGAAACAGCCUGCAACUCUGCCUGCACCAUGUCCUAACAGUGACUUUCUCUGCUCAGCCUAUGGUUUACCCACAGCAGGUCACAGCCACCCUUUCUCUCUGCCCAGUGGUUUCUUAUGGUUUUUACCUAGAUUUACGUCGACUUGCAGAUCAGUACACUCCUCUCCUGCUUCUGAGGCAACAUCAGGGUUGGAAUUUGUGGAGUUCCUUAUAGUCUUCAUAAUGCUAAUCACUACCUGAAAUUAUCAUCUUUUUAAUUGGUUUACUUGCUUAUUGUCUGUCUCCCUCACUGUAAGACUGUAAAUGCCACAUGAGCAAGGACCUUAUCUGAACACCUUCCUAGGUUUGGGGAUAUCCCACCACAUGCAUACCACUGAGGGGCAGAGAUGCCUUCCAGUGUAGAAACAGCUAGGACCAUAUAGUCACAGCCCCAGGCAGCUUCACAGCUAAGGCACGGGCAUUCCUUCUCUAUUUGGCCAUCAGACCGACCUGUGAAUCCCAAGUUGGAGAAAUGAAGUCACCAAGGCAGUGGAGAAUUCAGUGGUCGGGGCAGCUGUAGUGGCAGCAGUAGUGCCUGUGGCAACAGUUUCAGGAGUAGCAGUUGGUAUCCUGCCUCCAAAGACAGAAUGUAGGUCCACCAGCAGCACCGCCUUUACCAGACUGGUACUAGGACCUAAUUUUGGAAGUGGUUCUUCCUAUCGAGACUUUGGGCUACCUAAUAUCCUUUCAACAAAUUUGUUAUUUCCUAAAUCAGUCAGAAUCAACUUUUAGUGUGUAAACUGAGAACCCUCAGUAGAACUAUUAGCCACAAUGUCCGCUUUUAUUGUCUAAGUCCAUUUGAGCUGAACUUUCUGUAACUUGAAGACAGAAGCUCCCUAACUCAGGGGUCCUCAACUCCCAGGCCACACAGCAGGAGGUCAGCAGUGGGCUGGCUAGCAGGGGAGGCUUCAUCUGUAUUUACAGCCGCUUCCCAUCACUCGCAUCACCGCCUGAGCUCUGCUUCCUUCAGAUCAGCAGUGGCAUUACAUUCUCAUAGGAGUGGGAACCCUAUUGUGAACUGUGCUUGUGAAGGAUCUAGGUUGUGUGCUCCUUAUGAGAAUCAAUGCCUGAUGAUCUGUCACUGUCUCCCAUCACCCACAGAUGGGACUGUCUAGUUGCAGGAAAACAAGUUCAGGGUUCCCACUGAUUCUACAUUAUGGUGAGUUGUAUAACUAUUUCAUUAUAUAUUACGAUGUAAUAAUAAUAAGAGUAAAGUGCACAAUAAACGUGAUGUGCUUGAAUCAUCCCCAAACCAUCCCCCACCCUUAUCCUGUCCAUGGAAAAAUUGUCUUCCACGAAACCAGUCCCUGGUGCCAGAAAGAUUGGGACAACUGCCCUAACUGAUGUAAGAGUAUGGGCAAUAAGUGUUUUCAGUGCACUGAGUGAUUAAAGAUUGUUGGGGCAGGGUGUGUGCAAGUUGAACUUAGCUCAGUGCAUCCACUGGCAAGGAGGUGGUAGCAGGAAAUAGGCAUGUGGUGACUUCAGUAACAGAGACGACUGCAGGGCUGACCUAAGCUUAGUAGCCUGGCUUCUCCGGGAGCUGAGGGUGAGCAUCAUGCCUGCUCCAUCUCCCUCUUUGUUGUGGAUAAGGCAGGUAGGAAGAAUGACGGAUUGCCUUACCCUUUCUAAUUGUUGUGUGCUCUCCAUACCCCACCCAAUCCUACUUCAACAUUGUCACCUAAGGAUUCACAAACCCACCCUUGUGCGAAUCCAGCCGUCUGUGUUCUAGACUGGCAAGGACCAUAUCUGAUUCUGAGAUGCUCAGGAAGGUGUGCUCCCAAUUGGCCCUUGUCCAGACUAGUUUACUUGCUGAGUAUCCCCAGGGCACAGGAACAAUCAUUUGGGGUUGCGGCUUUGUUCAUAGGGUCAUCAAGACAGGAGGAUAUGAGGCAGAAUCACCACACAAGGUAAGAGUACAUUUAGAAAUUCUCUUGAGUAAAUAAUACUGGCUUUAUCACUAUGCUUAUUUCUGUGUUUCUACUUGCUCUCAGAUUUUGGCUUGGUUAUUUCUUACUAUCUUGUUAGCUCUUUGAUGCCUCUAGUUUUGUUUUUAUUUUUGAUAUUGUUGUUUUCUUUUCUUUUUUUUUUGAGAUGGAGUCUCGCUCUGUCACCCAGGCUGGAGGCCAGUGUCACAAUCUCAGCUCACUGCAGCCUCCGCCUCCCGGGUUCAAGUGAUUCUCUUGCCUCAGCCUCCCGAGUAGCUGGGAUUACAGGUGCCCACAACCAUGCCAGGCUAAUUUUUGUAUUUUUAGUAGAGACAGGGUUUCAUCACGUUGGCCAGGCUGGUCUCAAACUCCUGACCUCAGGUGAUCCACCUGCCUCGGCCUCCCAAAGUGCUGGGAUUAUGGGUGUGAGCCACUGCGUCCAGCCAUUGUUGUUUUUUUUUCUGAUUUAGCCACAUUUUUUGUUAUUUUCAGUGGGAGAAUGGUCCAAAAUAUCUUGGUUGCCAUAUUGUCAGAAAUGGAAAUCUUCUAUUGAUUUUUAAAUUUCAUCAUUCUUAUUUUUCAUUCUUAUUUAAUUCUUCAUUUAAUUGGUUCUUUAAAUCUCUUUGACAUUUUAAGAUAAUUUCUCAUUUCCUGCCUGUAUUUUCAAGGUUGUUUGAUAUUUCUCUAAAAUUGUUAAACAUAGUAUUUUGUAUUUUGUAUAUAAGUCCAAUAUCGAAAACACCCAUCCUGCCACUACAAGAAAAGUUUUGCCCAAGAAUGAACCAACGUAGAGAAAAACAGAGCUAAGACAAACCAAGGCUAACUGCUGAUUUAAGUCCCUAGAUCCAGCUAUUCUUGAAGCCUUCUCAGUUACACAAACCAAUAAUACUUACUUUUUUUACUUAAACUAUUUUCUGUUUCCAUUACUUACAACCAAAAUAGUCCUGAUUAAUACAUAGAAUAAUGUGAAUUUUUAUUUUUAUUCUGAUUUUUAUUCUGACUUUAUAAAAAAGAACUUUUACAAUUAUCCAUUAUGCUUGGAUAAAUGCGUGUGUAAAUAUUUGUUUGGGGUGGAGGAUGUACACUGAAAUGUUAACAUUAGAUUUCUGCGGAGGAUGAGUUGGAAGGAAUGAAGGAGACAUUAAUAUCUUUUUCUGGCAGGGCACGGUGGCUCACACCUGUAAUCCCAGCAUUUUGGAAGGUGGAGGUGGGCGGAUCACCUGAGGUCGGGAGUUCGAGACCAGCCUGACCAACAUGGAGAAACCCCGUCUCUAUUAAAACAUACAAAAAUUAGCUGGGUGCGGUGGCAGGCGCCUGUAAUCCCAGCUACUUGGGAGGCUGAGGCAGGAGAAUCGCUUGAACCUGGGAGGCGGAGGUUGCAGUGAGCUGAGAUCGCGCCAUUGCACUCUAGCCUGGGCAACAAGAGUGAAACUCCGUCUCAAAAAAAAAGAAAAAAAUCUUUUUCUUUGUCACCUAUGCAAUGUUUGACCUGCAAGUGCUUGUAUCUUUUGUAAUUGUUUAAAUCCCUCAAAAUUUUAAAUGAGUAUUGAAUAUAUUUUGUGUUUUUCCAAAUAUAAGAUUCUAUAAAGAAGAGAAUGAUGUAAGUGACCCGGGGGCAAUGGGGGGAGCUUAAAUUUGAAACUAGAAAAAAUUUUGAACAAAAUAAUCAUAAUUGUUAGCUGAUGAAAAACUAGAAAAUAUUUUCUGAGUAAAUUCUUGAUUUCAGAAAUUAACUAUAAUUUAUAUUGCUCUUAAUAUCUUACCCUUGAAUAUAAAUGAUUAAUGCCCUUUAAAAUGUCCUUUUUUCUAGCUAACCUGAUGUACAUAUGACAUUAAUCCAAUAGACUUAGGAAUAAGAUACAGGGGGUUUUCCUGAAUGAUUCGAGUAUAUCCCCAUUCAUAUUAAGAAAACAAAGUAUUGGCCAAGCGUGGUGGCUCACGCCUGUAAUCCCGGCACUUUGGAAGGCCGAGGCCAGUGGAUCACCUGAGAUGGACUCAACGACUCUCUUACCGUCCAGCUCUCAAGUCCCUUCUCUUGUGAAAAUGGAAAAGUUGAACUACAGUUGAGAUAUUAUUCCCAGGUGUUCUUUGGAACACAGGGGAUUUCUCCAAAAGGCACAGAACAAAUUGCCUCCAAACAGCCAAGAUUCCAGCAGAAGCUGGAGUAGCAGACUACUUGGAUCUUCAAAGUACCUGGCCCUGAGUCAGUUAAGGAAGAUCUUUUCUUCUCUUUUGUACAAUCCUAUGAUGAGAGCUGCAAAGUGAACUGACUAAGAGCUUCUGCCUUGAUCAUUGACCUCCCAAUCCUAAUAAUAUGUUCACUGGCCAAACUUCCUAAUCGAUUUGUCUUUUGGAUAUAACGUUCCUCCUACUGUUUGCCUGAUUGAGAAAUCUGCUACAGAACAUGACCGGUUAGCAUUCCCACCAACCCCAGUGCUACACUGACUGUCUUUCGAUGGACUUUGCUCCUUGCUGCCUCUCUGAGGUCCCAGACCUUCAGAGUGACCUUCACAGCUCUGCCUAACUUUCUGUCAUACUUCUAUCAAGAGAGACAGCUAAAUCAAUAUUUUUAAUGUGCUUUGCUGUCGGAAUUCGAUGAUCUGUCACAGUUCUUGCCCAAUACACCCCAUCAUUAUUGUUAAAAUGUUUUUAGCUUUGUUUGUAGAAUUGCUUUAACUGGUUUCAUCUCUGGGAGCUACACUUUGAAAUAUAACUUUAGCAACAUUUUACUAUACUUUUUCACAACCCAGAGCAGUACUAUUUUAUGCUUAGUGGUUAAACUAAUUCCAUAAAUCUUUUGCAACUAUCCUCUAUUCUUUUUCUUGUAAUUUUUACCUGGGAAGGUUUUUACUGAUAAUCAUCCUAUCCUGAGUCAUCCCACAAACCAAUCUGUCUCACUAAUCAUUGCUUCUAACCUACAGACUAAGCAUAACUUCUGCUAAAUGAUCUUUGAUAAGAUGCUAUGACUCUAUAAAGUCUUUGAUAUUCAUGUCUAAAUUUAAUCACUUGUAGAUUUUCAUAGAAUCAAUCUUUCACUUCUACAAUUGGGAGUAUUUAUAAGUUGUUUAUCUUAAACAGUUCCUCUAUCACGCUUUUCACGUUAAAUAAAGCAAUCCCUUCAAAUCAAUUUUCUGUCAUGUCUAAGAUGU
This 6739-nucleotide long non-coding RNA is filed under the name Homo sapiens (human). RNAcentral's name for it is "HSALNT0315043". Lineage: Eukaryota; Metazoa; Chordata; Mammalia; Primates; Hominidae. The record is from RNAcentral.